GCUUACGGCCAGACCACCCUGAACACGCCCGAUCUCGGAAGCUAAGCGGGGUUGGGCCUGUUUAGUACUUGGAUAGGACACUGCCUAGGAAUACCAGGUGCUGCAAGCU
RNAcentral lists this ribosomal RNA (109 nucleotides) under Dicentrarchus labrax (European seabass). Lineage: Eukaryota; Metazoa; Chordata; Actinopteri; Moronidae. The record is from RNAcentral.